AAUUUUCGGCAAUGGGCGCAAGCUUGACCGAGCAACGCCGCGUGAAGGAUGAAGGCCNNNGGGUCNUCAACUUUUGUCUUUGGNGACNAUAAUGACGGUACCCAAGGAGGAAGCCCCGGCUAACUACGUGCCAGCAGCCGCGGUAAUACGUAGGGGGCGAGCGUUGUCCGGAAUUACUGGGCGUAAAGGGCGCGUAGGCGGCCUGAUAAGUCAGAUGUGAAAUCCCAAGGCUUAACCGUGGGUUUGCAUUUGAAACUGUUAGGCUUGAGGGCAGGAGAGGAAAGCGGAAUUCCCAGUGUAGCGGUGAAAUGCGUAGAUAUUGGGAGGAACACCAGUGGCGAAGGCGGCCUUCUGGACUGCACCUGACGCUGAGGCGCGAAAGCUAGGGGAGCGAAC
This 396-nucleotide ribosomal RNA is filed under the name uncultured bacterium. Its description in RNAcentral is "partial 16S ribosomal RNA". It matches the Rfam family "Bacterial small subunit ribosomal RNA", at positions 360 to 773 of the family's 1533-position model. The record is from RNAcentral.